This 450-nucleotide ribosomal RNA is filed under the name uncultured bacterium. RNAcentral describes it as "bacterial SSU rRNA". It matches the Rfam family "Bacterial small subunit ribosomal RNA", at positions 354 to 796 of the family's 1533-position model. The record is from RNAcentral.
GUGGGGAAUAUUGGACAAUGGGCGAAAGCCUGAUCCAGCCAUGCCGCGUGUGUGAAGAAGGUCUUCGGAUUGUAAAGCACUUUAAGUUGGGAGGAAGGGCAGUAAGUUAAUACCUUGCUGUUUUGACGUUACCGACAGAAUAAGCACCGGCUAACUCUGUGCCAGCAGCCGCGGUAAUACAGAGGGUGCAAGCGUUAAUCGGAAUUACUGGGCGUAAAGCGCGCGUAGGUGGUUCGUUAAGUUGGAUGUGAAAGCCCCGGGCUCAACCUGGGAACUGCAUCCAAAACUGGCGAGCUAGAGUACGGUAGAGGGUGGUGGAAUUUCCUGUGUAGCGGUGAAAUGCGUAGAUAUAGGAAGGAACACCAGUGGCGAAGGCGACCACCUGGACUGAUACUGACACUGAGGUGCGAAAGCGUGGGGAGCAAACAGGAUUAGAAACCCUAGUAGUCC